RNAcentral lists this long non-coding RNA (1219 nucleotides) under Homo sapiens (human). RNAcentral describes it as "HSALNT0171422". The record is from RNAcentral. Lineage: Eukaryota; Metazoa; Chordata; Mammalia; Primates; Hominidae.
UUGGGGCUGUCAGGAAGAGAAAAGGGGAAGGAGCGUCUAGGUGAAAUGAGCUGUGUAGUCCUUUAGAGCCUCUGGACAGAAGUUUGAGGACUGUUGAGGAGCCAGAACAAAAGGUGAAGGAGAAAGUAUCAGGGUAAUAAUAUCAAUGAUGAGGACAAAAAGGCAAGAAGAAUAAAAUGAAGAUGCAAAGCAGGAAGCAGUGAAUGAGAAAAAGCUGUAACAGGCAGAAAGUAGCUACCCAUGGCUCUAAUACUAAGACCCAAGAAUAUGUAAAUAAACAAUUAUUCCACCAAGAAAGAAGGAGCAAGAGGAAAGCACGAAGACAAACAAAAUAUAAAGAAUAUCUUACACUCUGAAGGUUACAGAAUAUCACAAGCUACAUCAUGCCUCAAAUUCACAACCACACUAUUCAUUCUAUGCAGAAAAUAGCUGCUAGAAUUUCAACCUCAGUUCAAGUCCCUCCAUCAAAUCUCUCUAGGCUUGAUACCUUGUAAUCUGCGACCUACACACAUACAGACCAGAGCCCAGACCCCCAAAACCAGUUCAAAUAUCAAUUGCUACAGUAUGUUAAAUGAUUCUGCUCUAGAGAAGAGAGUGAAAACAAAGAAGGGCUGGUAAUACAUCAUCUCUAAGAAUUUAGCUUGGCGUAAGUGUGCCUGUGACUAAGCUGGGUAAGAAGCACUUGGCAAAUUCCCAACACAGCAUCAGAGACGAGAGGUGCCUAAUGAACAGUGGUUCUCAACUGGGAGAGCACUGUGUUCACCCUGGGGCUAUCGUGGCAAUGUCUGAAGAAAUUUGGGGUUGUCACAUCUGGGGUGGUGCUGCUGACAUCUAGUGAGCAGAGGCCAGAGACGCUGCUAAGCAUCCUACAAUGUACAGGAGAACCCCACGCAGCAAAGAAUUAUCCAGCCAGAAAUGUAAAUAGUGCCAAGACUGAGAAAGAAAGAACAACAUCACUGGAUACAACAGAACUUCUCCACAGCAUCAAAUAAACUUUUAGACAACCCUUUAUAAAUAAAAAUGGGACUUUCCCUUGCAUUUGUACUCUGAAUUAUCUUACGCUUUACUCCAUACCUCUAAACAGUUUAAUAGGGGAUAGGCACUAUAGCGCCAAAGGAAUGUUUUCUCUUGUCCCUGCAACGAUGGUAGUCUGAUGUCCCAGAAAGGAAGGAAAGUUAGUUUCUCUUUUCCUUGACUCUCAGAUCUGGGCUCCUUCACA